RNAcentral lists this unclassified non-coding RNA (318 nucleotides) under plant metagenome. RNAcentral describes it as "partial contains 5.8S ribosomal RNA, internal transcribed spacer 2, and large subunit ribosomal RNA". The stretch from base 1 to 105 matches the Rfam family "5.8S ribosomal RNA", at positions 50 to 154 of the family's 154-position model. The record is from RNAcentral.
GAAAUGCGAUAAGUAAUGUGAAUUGCAGAAUUCCGUGAAUCAUCGAAUCUUUGAACGCACAUUGCGCCCAUUAGUAUUCUAAUGGGCAUGCCUGUUCGAGCGUCAUUUCAACCCUCAAGCCUUAGUUGCUUGGUGUUGGGAGCUUAUCCUGCCGCAAGGCGGGACAACUCCUUAAAUUUAUUGGCGGAGUCGCGGUGACCCCAAGCGCAGUAAUUCCUUUUCUCGCUUUAGGUGUUAACGCUGGCUUCUAGCCAUUAAACCCCCUAAUUUUCUAAUGGUUGACCUCGGAUCAGGUAGGACUACCCGCUGAACUUAAGC